This is a non-coding RNA of Stegodyphus mimosarum, 73 nucleotides long. The record is from Rfam. NCBI's taxonomy places the organism in Eukaryota, Metazoa, Arthropoda, Arachnida, Araneae, Eresidae.
GCCUUCGUGGUGUAGUGAUCAGCACGCUGGGCGCGUAUUCCAGAGGCCCGUGGUUCAAGUCCCGGCGAAGGCG